UGGCCUAUCCGUAACAGGCAAGUCUCAUGGGCAUUGUAGAGUGUGGUGUCCUGUAAGAAUUAUUGGUUGAUCGUGCAGCACAAGUGUAGCUGCUAGAAUAUUGGUCAGAGCAUGUGCCUUGGACGAGAUGUCGACUUUCAAAUGCUUGGCUAAGGCUACACAGUUGAUGAUGGUAAGUACACGGCUAGGUUAAGAGAAUGAAAGCAAGUAUGAUGAUUUAGAGAUGAUUGAAGAGAAU
Molecule: long non-coding RNA, 238 nt
Filed under: Phoenix dactylifera (date palm)
Lineage: Eukaryota; Viridiplantae; Streptophyta; Magnoliopsida; Arecales; Arecaceae
Description: long non-coding RNA (PDAC_LNC007830)
Source: RNAcentral